RNAcentral lists this ribosomal RNA (298 nucleotides) under uncultured bacterium. RNAcentral's name for it is "partial 16S ribosomal RNA". It matches the Rfam family "Bacterial small subunit ribosomal RNA", at positions 475 to 776 of the family's 1533-position model. The record is from RNAcentral.
CUAUGCGCCUUGCCAGCCCGCUCAGGUGUGCCAGCAGCCGCGGUAAUACGUAGGUGGCAAGCGUUGUCCGGAUUUAUUGGGCGUAAAGCGAGUGCAGGCGGUUCAAUAAGUCUGAUGUGAAAGCCUUCGGCUCAACCGGAGAAUUGCAUCAGAAACUGUUGAACUUGAGUGCAGAAGAGGAGAGUGGAACUCCAUGUGUAGCGGUGGAAUGCGUAGAUAUAUGGAAGAACACCAGUGGCGAAGGCGGCUCUCUGGUCUGCAACUGACGCUGAGGCUCGAAAGCAUGGUAGCGAACAGG